Molecule: non-coding RNA, 28 nt
Filed under: Bombyx mori (domestic silkworm)
Lineage: Eukaryota; Metazoa; Arthropoda; Insecta; Lepidoptera; Bombycidae
Source: RNAcentral
UAAACUGCGAAAUAAAAGACAGUUGAUU